UCCACCAUGUGCUGCGAACUUUGCUGUUCA
RNAcentral lists this non-coding RNA (30 nucleotides) under Homo sapiens (human). The record is from RNAcentral. Lineage: Eukaryota; Metazoa; Chordata; Mammalia; Primates; Hominidae.